GGCGCACGGUGGAUGCCUUGGCACUAGAAGCCGAUGAAGGACGUUACUAACGACGAUAUGCUUUGGGGAGCUGUAAGUAAGCUUUGAUCCAGAGAUUUCCGAAUGGGGAAACCCAGCAUGAGUUAUGUCAUGUUAUCGAUAUGUGAAUACAUAGCAUAUCAGAAGGCACACCCGGAGAACUGAAACAUCUUAGUACCCGGAGGAAGAGAAAGAAAAUUCGAUUCCCUUAGUAGCGGCGAGCGAAACGGGAAGAGCCCAAACCAACAAGCUUGCUUGUUGGGGUUGUAGGACACUCUAUACGGAGUUACAAAGGACGACAUUAGACGAAUCAUCUGGAAAGAUGAAUCAAAGAAGGUAAUAAUCCUGUAGUCGAAAAUGUUGUCUCUCUUGAGUGGAUCCUGAGUACGACGGAGCACGUGAAAUUCCGUCGGAAUCUGGGAGGACCAUCUCCUAAGGCUAAAUACUCUCUAGUGACCGAUAGUGAACCAGUACCGUGAGGGAAAGGUGAAAAGCACCCCGGAAGGGGAGUGAAAUAGAACCUGAAACCGUGUGCUUACAAGUAGUCAGAGCCCGUUAAUGGGUGAUGGCGUGCCUUUUGUAGAAUGAACCGGCGAGUUACGAUUUGAUGCAAGGUUAAGCAGUAAAUGUGGAGCCGUAGCGAAAGCGAGUCUGAAUAGGGCGUUUAGUAUUUGGUCGUAGACCCGAAACCAGGUGAUCUACCCUUGGUCAGGUUGAAGUUCAGGUAACACUGAAUGGAGGACCGAACCGACUUACGUUGAAAAGUGAGCGGAUGAACUGAGGGUAGCGGAGAAAUUCCAAUCGAACCUGGAGAUAGCUGGUUCUCUCCGAAAUAGCUUUAGGGCUAGCCUCAAGUGAUGAUUAUUGGAGGUAGAGCACUGUUUGGACGAGGGGCCCCUCUCGGGUUACCGAAUUCAGACAAACUCCGAAUGCCAAUUAAUUUAACUUGGGAGUCAGAACAUGGGUGAUAAGGUCCGUGUUCGAAAGGGAAACAGCCCAGACCACCAGCUAAGGUCCCAAAAUAUAUGUUAAGUGGAAAAGGAUGUGGCGUUGCCCAGACAACUAGGAUGUUGGCUUAGAAGCAGCCAUCAUUUAAAGAGUGCGUAAUAGCUCACUAGUCGAGUGACACUGCGCCGAAAAUGUACCGGGGCUAAACAUAUUACCGAAGCUGUGGAUUGUCCUUUGGACAAUGGUAGGAGAGCGUUCUAAGGGCGUUGAAGCAUGAUCGUAAGGACAUGUGGAGCGCUUAGAAGUGAGAAUGCCGGUGUGAGUAGCGAAAGACGGGUGAGAAUCCCGUCCACCGAUUGACUAAGGUUUCCAGAGGAAGGCUCGUCCGCUCUGGGUUAGUCGGGUCCUAAGCUGAGGCCGACAGGCGUAGGCGAUGGAUAAC
RNAcentral lists this ribosomal RNA (1408 nucleotides) under Staphylococcus aureus. Its description in RNAcentral is "partial 23S ribosomal RNA". It matches the Rfam family "Bacterial large subunit ribosomal RNA", at positions 16 to 1426 of the family's 2925-position model. The record is from RNAcentral. Lineage: Bacteria; Bacillati; Bacillota; Bacilli; Caryophanales; Staphylococcaceae.